Molecule: ribosomal RNA, 377 nt
Filed under: uncultured eukaryote
Lineage: Eukaryota
Description: partial 18S ribosomal RNA
Rfam family: Eukaryotic small subunit ribosomal RNA
Source: RNAcentral
CAAUAGCGUAUAUUUAAGUUGCUGCAGUUAAAAAGCUCGUAGUUGGAUUUCGGGUGGGAAUGGCCGGUCCGCCGUUUCGGUGUGCACUUGCUACGCCCACCUUGCUUCCGGGGACGUGCUCUUGAGUUCACGCUCGGGACACGGAGUCGGCGAGGUUACUUUGAGUAAAUUAGAGUGUUCAAAGCAGGCCUACGCUCUGAAUACAUUAGCAUGGAAUAACACGAUAGGACUCUGGCCUAUCUUGUUGGUCUGUAGGACCGGAGUAAUGAUUAAGAGGGACAGUCGGGGGCAUUCGUAUUUCAUUGUCAGAGGUGAAAUUCUUGGAUUUAUGAAAGACGAACUACUGCGAAAGCAUUUGCCAAGGAUGUUUUCAUUAA